AUUGAAUACAAGUUAUGUAGCUAUGGCUGUAAAAUCAUGAAAAUGUGGGGUCUUAUAAGGCACCAGAUAUUGAAAAGGGUUCAUAUCUUAACGUAUACUGAAAGUAAAAAAGAGUUUUGUUAAUAACACGGUAUAUUGUGAAUUGGGUAAAAUGCGUAUGUGUAUAGAGAGAGAAUAUAGAAUGGUAAAAUAUUGGAUAAAAUUAUAAUGUACUGAUAAUUGCAUAUUGAAAAAUAGUUAUGAUGUAAUAGAAAACCAAAUGAUAAGCUGAACUGGCGCUGUAAGAUUUAAGAUAUUUUGGUAAAUAUGGCUUUAACUUUACUUGGUUUAGUCAAAAGGUAGAUAAUGUAGACUUUUUUCUAAGACAAUUAAAAGUGAGAAUGGUUGAUACAUUUAUAUGCGAA
RNAcentral lists this long non-coding RNA (404 nucleotides) under Mytilus galloprovincialis (Mediterranean mussel). The record is from RNAcentral. Lineage: Eukaryota; Metazoa; Mollusca; Bivalvia; Mytilida; Mytilidae.